AGGAUUAUAUUUAAUAAUAAUAUUUGAGUUGCAUUCAAAAGGUGCUAAUUUAGCUAAUCUUU
This 62-nucleotide transfer RNA is filed under the name Cicadella viridis. Its description in RNAcentral is "tRNA-Ala". Lineage: Eukaryota; Metazoa; Arthropoda; Insecta; Hemiptera; Cicadellidae. The record is from RNAcentral.